UACGUAGGGGGCUAGCGUUGUCCGGAAUCAUUGGGCGUAAAGAGCGUGUAGGCGGCUCGGUAAGUCCGCUGUGAAAGUCCAGGGCUCAACCCUGGAAUGCCAGUGGAAACUGUCGAGCUAGAGUCCGGAAGAGGCGAGUGGAAUUCCUGGUGUAGCGGUGAAAUGCGCAGAUAUCAGGAGGAACACCAAUGGCGAAGGCAGCUCGCUGGGACGGUACUGACGCUGAGACGCAAAAGCGUGGGGAGCAAACAGG
This 253-nucleotide ribosomal RNA is filed under the name uncultured bacterium. RNAcentral describes it as "partial 16S ribosomal RNA". It matches the Rfam family "Bacterial small subunit ribosomal RNA", at positions 524 to 776 of the family's 1533-position model. The record is from RNAcentral.